GACGUAGGGCGCGAGCGUUGUCCGGAUUUAUUGGGCGUAAAGAGCUCGUAGGCGGCUCGUUGCGUCGGCUGUGAAAACCCGCAGCUCAACUGUGGGCUUGCAGCUGAUACGGGCGGGCUGGGAUUCGGUAGGGAGGACUGGAAUUCCUGGUGUAGCGGUGAAAUGCGCAGAUGUCAGGAGGAACACCAGCGGCGAAGGCGGCGCUCUGGCCGGUACUGACACUGAGGAGCGAAACGUGCGAGGAGAACAUG
Molecule: ribosomal RNA, 251 nt
Filed under: uncultured bacterium
Lineage: Bacteria
Description: partial 16S ribosomal RNA
Rfam family: Bacterial small subunit ribosomal RNA
Source: RNAcentral